Anopheles stephensi (Asian malaria mosquito) is the source of this 916-nucleotide long non-coding RNA. RefSeq lists it as uncharacterized. NCBI's taxonomy places the organism in Eukaryota, Metazoa, Arthropoda, Insecta, Diptera, Culicidae. The transcript is spliced from 6 exons. The record is from RefSeq and is a predicted model, not a curated record.
GGAUUCGUUUCCCGCACCGGUUUGGAAGGGUUGUCAACGAUUUAGGUAAAUUCUUUCUGAACGUGCGCUCGAAGUGGAAGGUUGAAUUUGUCGUAAAUCAAAGAAAAGUUGUCCUUACAGCGAUGAACAAAUUAAUAUAUGUUUGUGUAGUUUACAUAAGUAUUAAUCCGGAUUGACCAGUACGUUCUGAGUGUGUAUAAAUUUACUGAAAUCAUGCGUUGAAAUUCCGAUAUUGGCGGCAAUCGUCGUCUUGGUCGUGGCUGAGUCGCGUGGUAUGCCACCGCACAUGUAGCUAUCAUGGAUGAAUGGAAACCGUUGGCCCUCAUUCCACAAUGUCCCGACUCGACAUAACUUGAACCGUCCUCCUACAAAAGGUUGCUUUCCCUCAUGGCUUGGGUAAAAAAGGUAGAAGAUGGUUGGAUGGAAAAAGGGGUUCUUCCUAAUCGUCCCUAACGAGUUUCCCGUUGAUCUACUGCUGCUUCGAUUGUGCACCUGCUGAUCGAAUCUUCCAACAAACCAGUGUUGACAUCCCAAUUGAUAGGAAUAGCCUUCAACGUUGGUGUUUGGAAAACUCUCCUGUCAUCCUCGGUUUCCGGUUAAACAUGCGAGGGGAUUGGCUUGGUGACACCCGGCAAGGGCGGGGGGACAUUCCCAAAAGGCAAUGAGAGGGGGAAAAGGCGGAACCUUCUUCCUGGACAGUAGGCAGCAACCUCGGGGGUCUGUUUUCCUAUUCCCGGCUUCCUUGACUUGAUUUUACCCGUACGUAGGAAUGCAACAGAUUGGGAUGAUUGGUUGUUGUCAGUCGUGUCCUGCCUGGCUAGCGGAAAGGUGGCUGAGUGACAUCGUUGAUGUCGUACCUUGAACUCAUAUUGGAAUCCUGUUACUUGAAUAAAAAGGCGUCGAUUAAGAAGGAAAA